ACAGGCUUAACACAUGCAAGUCGAGGGGCAGCAUGGUCUUAGCUUGCUAAGGCCGAUGGCGACCGGCGCACGGGUGAGUAACACGUAUCCAACCUGCCGUCUACUCUUGGACAGCCUUCUGAAAGGAAGAUUAAUACAAGAUGGCAUCAUGAGUCCGCAUGUUCACAUGAUUAAAGGUAUUCCGGUAGACGAUGGGGAUGCGUUCCAUUAGAUAGUAGGCGGGGUAACGGCCCACCUAGUCUUCGAUGGAUAGGGGUUCUGAGAGGAAGGUCCCCCACAUUGGAACUGAGACACGGUCCAAACUCCUACGGGAGGCAGCAGUGAGGAAUAUUGGUCAAUGGGCGAGAGCCUGAACCAGCCAAGUAGCGUGAAGGAUGACUGCCCUAUGGGUUGUAAACUUCUUUUAUAAAGGAAUAAAGUCGGGUAUGGAUACCCGUUUGCAUGUACUUUAUGAAUAAGGAUCGGCUAACUCCGUGCCAGCAGCCGCGGUAAUACGGAGGAUCCGAGCGUUAUCCGGAUUUAUUGGGUUUAAAGGGAGCGUAGAUGGAUGUUUAAGUCAGUUGUGAAAGUUUGCGGCUCAACCGUAAAAUUGCAGUUGAUACUGGAUAUCUUGAGUGCAGUUGAGGCAGGCGGAAUUCGUGGUGUAGCGGUGAAAUGCUUAGAUAUCACGAAGAACUCCGAUUGCGAAGGCAGCCUGCUAAGCUGCAACUGACAUUGAGGCUCGAAAGUGUGGGUAUCAAACAGGAUUAGAUACCCUGGUAGUCCACACGGUAAACGAUGAAUACUCGCUGUUUGCGAUAUACAGCAAGCGGCCAAGCGAAAGCGUUAAGUAUUCCACCUGGGGAGUACGCCGGCAACGGUGAAACUCAAAGGAAUUGACGGGGGCCCGCACAAGCGGAGGAACAUGUGGUUUAAUUCGAUGAUACGCGAGGAACCUUACCCGGGCUUAAAUUGCAGAUGAAUUACGGUGAAAGCCGUAAGCCGCAAGGCAUCUGUGAAGGUGCUGCAUGGUUGUCGUCAGCUCGUGCCGUGAGGUGUCGGCUUAAGUGCCAUAACGAGCGCAACCCUUGUUGUCAGUUACUAACAGGUUCCGCUGAGGACUCUGACAAGACUGCCAUCGUAAGAUGUGAGGAAGGUGGGGAUGACGUCAAAUCAGCACGGCCCUUACGUCCGGGGCUACACACGUGUUACAAUGGGGGGUACAGAGGGCCGCUACCACGCGAGUGGAUGCCAAUCCCCAAAACCUCUCUCAGUUCGGACUGGAGUCUGCAACCCGACUCCACGAAGCUGGAUUCGCUAGUAAUCGCGCAUCAGCCACGGCGCGGUGAAUACGUUCCCGGGCCUUGUACAC
Molecule: ribosomal RNA, 1351 nt
Filed under: uncultured bacterium
Lineage: Bacteria
Description: bacterial SSU rRNA
Rfam family: Bacterial small subunit ribosomal RNA
Source: RNAcentral